Sinocyclocheilus rhinocerous is the source of this 535-nucleotide long non-coding RNA. RefSeq lists it as uncharacterized. The transcript is spliced from 4 exons. The record is from RefSeq and is a predicted model, not a curated record. Lineage: Eukaryota; Metazoa; Chordata; Actinopteri; Cypriniformes; Cyprinidae.
AUGGGAUGUCUGGCCCCUGAUCUCUUUGUGUCUAUGCAAAGGGUGUAAGUGGCAGAAAGAGAAACUGCGACGUUGUGUGCAUCCUACAGCUGGGAAAAACAUAGGCUGGAUCCACUUUCCCUACAUAUUCAUUAGAAACAGGGAUAUUACAAAUUGAUUUUAAGUGUUGAUGAAAAGGAGCCUAUACAACGUGGGGACAUCUUAGAUUGAAUUAGCUGUUUGUUUGAAAAAGGGAACAGGUCAAGUUGUGAAAGCACCAGAGGAGGCGAAAUCGGCAUACAAGUGUUCACAAUCCUCUCUAGCUGGUGUAAUCAACAAUAUGUCCGGCAGUGGGGACGACAGAAACGAUUUUGAACAUCGUUCUAUGAUGCAAGACGAGGAUGACCUGGACGAGGAGUUGUCAGAAAAUGAUGCCCCAAAGGUGAAAAAGAAGAAGAAAGCCAAAAAAAGUAGCCGCGAGAGCAAAGGCAGCAAGAGGAAUCGCUCCCGGAGAGAGGAUAUCGGCAUCAGUUCUCCGGAGCCAGUGGAAGGCCCU